This 71-nucleotide transfer RNA is filed under the name Esteya vermicola. RNAcentral describes it as "tRNA-Gly". It matches the Rfam family "tRNA". From Rfam's summary of the family: Transfer RNA (tRNA) molecules are approximately 80 nucleotides in length. Lineage: Eukaryota; Fungi; Ascomycota; Sordariomycetes; Ophiostomatales; Ophiostomataceae. The record is from RNAcentral.
ACAACUGUAAUUUAAUGGUAAAAUGAUCGUCUUCCAAACGAACGUUAUCGGUUCGAUUCCGAUUAGUUGUA